Brienomyrus brachyistius is the source of this 731-nucleotide long non-coding RNA. RefSeq lists it as uncharacterized. The transcript is spliced from 3 exons. The record is from RefSeq and is a predicted model, not a curated record. NCBI's taxonomy places the organism in Eukaryota, Metazoa, Chordata, Actinopteri, Osteoglossiformes, Mormyridae.
AAACUGUAGUAUCCCAGAGGAUUUGGGUAUCCGUAGCUUCACUAUCACUGUUUCACACAGAGUCCCUGCUCGAGUUGAAGGCGUAAAUAUAUUGUAGCAAUUAUAGGGCAUUACUGGUUGUUACUGCCAAUUAAUUGCAUGUGUAACAGUUUACGCUAGUUUAGAGUCUUGCCUCAUUUGUGUAUUUAGCUAUCCAACAGCUGGAUGCUGCUUCUCGGCGUUUGUCGCUGUUCCUGUGUGGCACAUUGUUUAAACUGUGCUGGUUUGUAGUACAAAUAUGUAAAUAUAGCUGUCAGGGAUUAUGGGAGAUCAUCGUGCUUCUCAUGGAAGAAAGCGUGGGGCUUUGAUAAUUAGGUAUUUUAUGGGGGUUUGCUUGGUUGCUAGGACCCAGGAGUGCAAUGCGUUUCCGACAGUAGAUUUGUGAUUUGUUUAUUAAUUGCUGCCAUUGUUAAACGAUAACUGUGAAAUGUUAGCUAAAUUGACAGAUGGAAUAGAGUUGUUUCUGCACGGGAUGACGAACAUGCGAGAGAUAAUAGGAGGAGCGCCGUACUCAGAGACGCCAAACAGGCAGAGACCAACACCGAAACUACCAGGAGAUAUUACCGGAUAAUCAGCGGAAACAGAAACUUGUGUCAAUGGCUUGUGUCCCAUUCAAACGGCGACAGAUGGCACAUGGAGGAAGGGGAGGAAGAUGAGGUUGGGGAAAAGGGAAGACGUUUCAAAGAGCCCCC